AUUAAACAAAUCCAGGAAGUAGUGCAUCGAGCGUUUUUGAGUUCUCGGAGGUUCGAUACGCUCAAUUUAUGGCCAAGAGUGACCAAGAUCGUGUUGCGUAGACGCUGGGAGGAAUUAUUACAGCUACGUCAAAGCGUACAAGAUGUAACAAUUCCCUUAAUAAGAGCUAGAAAGAAGUUGCAAGAGGAAGAGAGGACAGGCAUGGACACUCACCAUGAUCAUGUUGUACCUUAUGUUGAUACAUUAUUAGCUCUGGAAUUUCCCGAUGAUAAAAGAAAACUCGACGAGGAGGAAAUUUCUAAUUUAUGCGGCGAAUUUCUAAAUGCGGGCACUGAUACUACCACAACUGCCUUGGAAUG
This 359-nucleotide long non-coding RNA is filed under the name Populus trichocarpa (black cottonwood). Its description in RNAcentral is "long non-coding RNA (PTRI_LNC003385)". Lineage: Eukaryota; Viridiplantae; Streptophyta; Magnoliopsida; Malpighiales; Salicaceae. The record is from RNAcentral.